AGAUUGGGAUAGCGGAUGGAAACAUCCGAUAAUACCGAAUACUUAUUAUUUUUGCAUGAAAGUAAUAUAAAAGGAAGCGUUUGCUUCGCUAAAAGAUCGGAGUGCGCAACAUUAGCUAGUUGGUGAGGUAACGGCCCACCAAGGCGAUGAUGUUUAGCGGGGUUGAGAGAUUGAUCCGCCACACUGGGACUGAGAUACGGCCCAGACUCCUACGGGAGGCAGCAGUAGGGAAUAUUCCACAAUGGACGAAAGUCUGAUGGAGCGACACAGCGUGCAGGAUGAAGGCCCUAUGGGUUGUAAACUGCUGUGGUUAGGGAAGAAAAAGUAGCAUAGGAAAUGAUGCUACCUUGACGGUACCUGAUUAGAAAGCAACGGCUAACUAUGUGCCAGCAGCCGCGGUAAUACAUAGGUUGCAAGCGUUAUCCGAAAUUAUUGGGCGUAAAGCGUCUGUAGGUUGUUUGUUAAGUCUGGCGUUAAAUUUUGGGGCUCAACCCCAAAACGCGUUGGAUACUGGCAGACUAGAGUUAUGUAGAGGUUAGCGGAAUUCCUUGUGAAGCGGUGAAAUGCGUAGAUAUAAGGAAGAACAUCAAUAUGGCGAAGGCAGCUAACUGGGCAUACACUGACACUGAGAGACGAAAGCGUGGGGAGCAAACAGGAUUAGAUACCCUGGUAGUCCACGCCCUAAACGAUGAUCAUUAGUUGAUGGGGAACUCAUCGACGCAGCUAACGCAUUAAAUGAUCCGCCUGAGUAGUACGUUCGCAAGAAUAAAACUUAAAGGAAUUGACGGGGAUCCGCACAAGCGGUGGAGCAUGUGGUUUAAUUUGAUGUUACGCGUAGAACCUUACCCACUCUUGACAUCUUCUGCAAAGCUAUAGAGACAUAGUGGAGGUUAACAGAAUGACAGAUGGUGCAUGGUUGUCGUCAGCUCGUGUCGUGAGAUGUUCGGUUAAGUCCUGCAACGAGCGCAACCCUUAUCCUUAGUUACUACCAUUUAGUUGAGCACUCUAAGGAGACUGCCCGAGUAAUCGGGAGGAAGGUGGGGACGACGUCAAAUCAUCAUGCCUCUUACGAGUGGGGCUACACACGUGCUACAAUGGACGGUACAAAGAGAAGCGAAGUGGUGACAUGGAGCAAACCUCAAAAAACCGUUCUCAGUUCGGAUUGAAGUCUGCAACUCGACUUCAUGAAG
Molecule: ribosomal RNA, 1190 nt
Filed under: Mycoplasmopsis bovis
Lineage: Bacteria; Bacillati; Mycoplasmatota; Mycoplasmoidales; Metamycoplasmataceae
Description: bacterial SSU rRNA
Rfam family: Bacterial small subunit ribosomal RNA
Source: RNAcentral